Molecule: ribosomal RNA, 3412 nt
Filed under: Bacillus sp. FJAT-26377
Lineage: Bacteria; Bacillati; Bacillota; Bacilli; Caryophanales; Bacillaceae
Description: 23S ribosomal RNA
Rfam family: Bacterial large subunit ribosomal RNA
Source: RNAcentral
GGUUAAGUUAGAAAGGGCGCACGGUGAAUGCCUUGGCACUAGGAGCCGAUGAAGGACGGGACUAACACCGAUAUGCUUCGGGGAGCUGUAAGUGAGCUUUGAUCCGGAGAUUUCCGAAUGGGGAAACCCACUGUUCGUAAUGGAACAGUAUCUUUAUCUGAAUACAUAGGAUAUUGAAGGCAGACCCGGGGAACUGAAACAUCUAAGUACCCGGAGGAAGAGAAAGCAAAUGCGAUUUCCUGAGUAGCGGCGAGCGAAACGGAAUUAGCCCAAACCAAGAGGCUUGCCUCUUGGGGUUGUAGGACACUCUAUACGGAGUUACAAAGGAACGAAGUAAAUGAAGCGACCUGGAAAGGUCCGUCGAAGAAGGUAACAACCCUGUAGUUGAAACUUCGUUCCCUCUUGAGUGGAUCCUGAGUACGGCGGAACACGUGAAAUUCCGUCGGAAGCUGGGAGGACCAUCUCCCAAGGCUAAAUACUACCUAGUGACCGAUAGUGAACCAGUACCGUGAGGGAAAGGUGAAAAGCACCCCGGAAGGGGAGUGAAAGAGAUCCUGAAACCGUGUGCCUACAAGUAGUCAGAGCCCGUUAACGGGUGAUGGCGUGCCUUUUGUAGAAUGAACCGGCGAGUUACGAUCCCAUGCAAGGUUAAGCUGAUAAGGCGGAGCCGUAGCGAAAGCGAGUCUGAAUAGGGCGUUUAGUAUGUGGUUGUAGACCCGAAACCAGGUGAUCUACCCAUGUCCAGGGUGAAGUUCAGGUAACACUGAAUGGAGGCCCGAACCCACGCACGUUGAAAAGUGCGGGGAUGANACCAGGUGAUCUACCCAUGUCCAGGGUGAAGUUCAGGUAACACUGAAUGGAGGCCCGAACCCACGCACGUUGAAAAGUGCGGGGAUGAGGUGUGGGUAGCGGAGAAAUUCCAAUCGAACCUGGAGAUAGCUGGUUCUCUCCGAAAUAGCUUUAGGGCUAGCCUCAUGUUGUGAGAGUCUUGGAGGUAGAGCACUGAUUGGACUAGGGGCCCCCAACGGGUUACCGAAUUCAGUCAAACUCCGAAUGCCAAAGACUUAUCCAUGGGAGUCAGACUGCGAGUGAUAAGAUCCGUAGUCAAAAGGGAAACAGCCCAGACCACCAGCUAAGGUCCCCAAGUAUACGUUAAGUGGAAAAGGAUGUGGAGUUGCUUAGACAACCAGGAUGUUGGCUUAGAAGCAGCCACCAUUUAAAGAGUGCGUAAUAGCUCACUGGNAAGUGGAAAAGGAUGUGGAGUUGCUUAGACAACCAGGAUGUUGGCUUAGAAGCAGCCACCAUUUAAAGAGUGCGUAAUAGCUCACUGGUCGAGUGACUCUGCGCCGAAAAUGUACCGGGGCUAAACGUAUCACCGAAGCUGUGGAUUGACAUCUUUGAUGUCAGUGGUAGGAGAGCGUUCUAAGUGCUGUGAAGUCAGACCGUAAGGACUGGUGGAGCGCUUAGAAGUGAGAAUGCCGGUAUGAGUAGCGAAAGACAAGUGAGAAUCUUGUCCACCGAAUGCCUAAGGUUUCCUGAGGAAGGCUCGUCCGCUCAGGGUUAGUCGGGACCUAAGCCGAGGCUGAAAAGCGUAGGCGAUGGCCAACAGGUUGAUAUUCCUGUACCACCUCCCCGCCGUUUGAGUAAUGGGGGGACGCAGUAGGAUAGGGUAAGCGCGCUGCUGGAUAUGCGCGUUCAAGCAGUUAGGCUGAUGAGUAGGCAAAUCCGCUCAUCAUAAAGGCUGAGCUGUGAUGACGAGGGAAUUAUAGUACCGAAGUUCCUGAUUCCACACUGCCAAGAAAAGCCUCUAGCGAGGCGGGAGGUGCCCGUACCGCAAACCGACACAGGUAGGCGAGGAGAGAAUCCUAAGGUGAUCGAGAGAACUCUCGUUAAGGAACUCGGCAAAAUGACCCCGUAACUUCGGGAGAAGGGGUGCUNCCGACACAGGUAGGCGAGGAGAGAAUCCUAAGGUGAUCGAGAGAACUCUCGUUAAGGAACUCGGCAAAAUGACCCCGUAACUUCGGGAGAAGGGGUGCUCUGGUAGGGUGUAUAGCCCGAGAGAGCCGCAGUGAAUAGGCCCAGGCGACUGUUUAGCAAAAACACAGGUCUCUGCGAAGCCGCAAGGCGAAGUAUAGGGGCUGACGCCUGCCCGGUGCUGGAAGGUUAAGAGGAGGGGUUAUCCUUUGGGAGAAGCUCUGAAUCGAAGCCCCAGUAAACGGCGGCCGUAACUAUAACGGUCCUAAGGUAGCGAAAUUCCUUGUCGGGUAAGUUCCGACCCGCACGAAAGGCGUAACGAUCUGGGCACUGUCUCAACGAGAGACUCGGUGAAAUUAUAGUACCUGUGAAGAUGCAGGUUACCCGCGACAGGACGGAAAGACCCCGUGGAGCNAACGAUCUGGGCACUGUCUCAACGAGAGACUCGGUGAAAUUAUAGUACCUGUGAAGAUGCAGGUUACCCGCGACAGGACGGAAAGACCCCGUGGAGCUUUACUGUAGCCUGAUAUUGAAUUUUGGUACAGCUUGUACAGGAUAGGUAGGAGCCUGAGAAGCCGGAGCGCUAGCUUCGGUGGAGGCGUCGGUGGGAUACUACCCUGGCUGUAUUGAAAUUCUAACCCGCGGCCCUGAUCGGGCCGGGAGACAGUGUCAGGUGGGCAGUUUGACUGGGGCGGUCGCCUCCUAAAAUGUAACGGAGGCGCCCAAAGGUUCCCUCAGAAUGGUUGGAAAUCAUUCGUAGAGUGUAAAGGCACAAGGGAGCUUGACUGCGAGACCUACAAGUCGAGCAGGGACGAAAGUCGGGCUUAGUGAUCCGGUGGUUCCGCAUGGAAGGGCCAUCGCUCAACGGAUAAAAGCUACCCCGGGGAUAACAGGCUUAUCUCCCCCAAGAGUCCACAUCGACGGGGAGGUUUGGCACCUCGAUGUCGGCUCAUCGCAUCCUGGGGCUGUAGUCGGUCCCAAGGGUUGGGCUGUUCGCCCAUUAAAGCGGUACGCGAGCUGGGUUCAGAACGUCGUGAGACAGUUCGGUCCCUAUCCGUCGNGGGGCUGUAGUCGGUCCCAAGGGUUGGGCUGUUCGCCCAUUAAAGCGGUACGCGAGCUGGGUUCAGAACGUCGUGAGACAGUUCGGUCCCUAUCCGUCGUGGGCGUAGGAAAUUUGAGAGGAGCUGUCCUUAGUACGAGAGGACCGGGAUGGACACACCGCUGGUGUACCAGUUGUCUUGCCAAAGGCAUCGCUGGGUAGCUAUGUGUGGACGGGAUAAGUGCUGAAAGCAUCUAAGCAUGAAGCCCCCCUCAAGAUGAGAUUUCCCAUAGCGCAAGCUAGUAAGAUCCCUGAAAGAUGAUCAGGUUGAUAGGUCAGAGGUGGAAGCGUGGCGACAUGUGUAGCUGACUGAUACUAAUCGAUCGAGGACUUAACCAA